GGGACAAAAAGAAGUAUUGCCAUUUCCACCGGGAUCAUAACCAUGAUCUCGAGGAAUGCAGGCAACUGCGGGAUAAAAUAGAAAUCUUGGUGCACCGAGGUUACCUCGAUAAAUAUGUGAGGUCGAGCAAAGCCAUUGAGUAUUGGCUUCAGAUAGAAGAUAGCUCUGAGGAUCAUAAUCGACCAACAAUCGGAGUCAUACACAUGAUAUCCAGUGUCCCACAGAGCAUUAGUGAUCCAUCCCCCA
Molecule: long non-coding RNA, 246 nt
Filed under: Elaeis guineensis (African oil palm)
Lineage: Eukaryota; Viridiplantae; Streptophyta; Magnoliopsida; Arecales; Arecaceae
Description: long non-coding RNA (EGUI_LNC030548)
Source: RNAcentral